UGAGGAAUAUUGGGCAAUGCCCGCAAGGGUGACCAGCAACGCCGCGCGGAGGAUGAAGGUCGUAAGAUUGUAAACUCCUGUUAGAGGGGAAGAAUAACUAAGUUUGGAGCUUAGUAUGACUGUACCCUCAGAGAAAGCCCCGGCUAACUACGUGCCAGCAGCCGCGGUAAUACGUAGGGGGCAAGCGUUGUCCGGAUUUACUGGGUGUAAAGGGCGCGCAGGCGGAAUGGAAAGUCAGUGGUGAAAUCCUACAGCUUAACUGUAGAACUGCCUUUGAUACUUUCAUUCGUGAGUUCGGGAGAGAGAGACGGAAUUCCAGGUGUAGUGGUGAAAUACGUAGAUAUCUGGAAGAACACCAGUUGCGAAGGCGGUCUCUUGGUCCGAUACUGACGCUGAGGCGCGAAAGCGUGGGGAGCAAACA
This 421-nucleotide ribosomal RNA is filed under the name uncultured bacterium. Its description in RNAcentral is "bacterial SSU rRNA". It matches the Rfam family "Bacterial small subunit ribosomal RNA", at positions 355 to 774 of the family's 1533-position model. The record is from RNAcentral.